This is a long non-coding RNA of Brienomyrus brachyistius, 5429 nucleotides long. RefSeq lists it as uncharacterized. The transcript has 3 exons. The record is from RefSeq and is a predicted model, not a curated record. NCBI's taxonomy places the organism in Eukaryota, Metazoa, Chordata, Actinopteri, Osteoglossiformes, Mormyridae.
GCGACUGGUCUGUAGAAAGCAGGAAAUGCGUAAUGAGCCGCGCUUCCGCUUCCAAAGUUCUCAGUGAUGUGGCAGUAUCACUGACAUCACCAGGCAUUCUAACAUCGGCAAUCUGUGUAGAACUGUAGGCUUUUACAAUAAAUAGCGUAGGGUCUGCAUUUCUACAGUUUCUUGAAACUGAAUCACAGCAUGGAAAAACGAACUUUUUUUGUCGAAUCGAUUAGAUGUAUGGAAUGUGUAGUUUCAGGAAAUUCGUCAGAAAAAAAUUCUGGAAAUGCUUCAUGAGACGCAUUACAAUAUUGUCUGAACCGCUCACAAACAUGUGUUAUACCAAAUCCUGUGACCAUUGCAGUCUGUGAUCCUAGAGGCGCUGCUGCCAAGGUCGCAAGCAAGGAUUCAGCCCCGCAACUGCAGCGGGCAGGCGGAAGCGACACCCGGAAACGGCAGGUAGCGGCGUUUAAUAGUGGCAGGUGCCGUUCAGAUACAGUGCAUGCUGCGGUGGAGGAGUGACAUCUGCCACUUGAAUCUCCGAUCCACCCGACUCUCCCUGCUCCCGCUUCCUGCGCCUUCGGACCCUUCCCUCUCCUGUGUGCCCUGUCUGCGUCCGCGGACAGACCUCCCGGAUCUUCGACCUUACGGCUCCCGACCUGACGACGAUUACGGUCUUCUCUCAGGUUUGCCCCAAUAAAGGAACGUUGGACCUUUCCCGAGUGUUCUGUCAUUAUAAUUUUUAUGACAGAAUAUUACAUCUAAACAAAAAUAUCACUUCUUAUAAGGUUAACAUUAUCUAAUAAUUUACAAGUAUAGAAGCCGAGGAAUUUAACUUCAGUAUUUUUAUGACCUGAUCCUCAUCUGAUCCUUCUGCGUGCCACGCCCCCCUCAUUAACCCCGUGUGGAUUCCCCGUGUUCACCAGCUGUUUCCUGUUGCUGUCAUUAGUUCAAUGUAUUUAGUCUGCGUUAGGUAUGUUUUCCAGCCCGGUCAUUGAAGUCUAUAUGUCUUUUGUGCUCCUUUUUCAACUAAAACCCCUUUAUUUUACCCCAGUCCUGUUCUCCUUGGCUGCUUCCCCGGUCUACGCCACGCCAGUCACGACAAGUAUGAUGUUUGAAAAUAAUUUUCCUUUUAAACAGACAAAAGUUGUUUUCACCUUCUAAAUCUUUUCUCAUGUUCAGAUUUGAUGACAUUUUUCGACAAAUUUUAGACAGGAACUAAAGGGGUUUUGCACCUUCAAAUCCAGCUGGGAACACAGCUAACAUACACAUUGGUUGUCUUCAUGUAAUGAUUCCCUGGCAUUCAAGGGGUUAAACCCUUUGAGCCAUUGAACUCACCUCAGGAUGACAGUAUAUAAAGUCAUAUCACUUGAUUUCUGCCUGGCUCGACUAUUCUGUAAUGACCUGCUCCUCCUGUCCUUCUGUGUGCCACGCCCCCCCAUCUACCUCGUGUGGAAUCCCUGUGUUACCGGCUUGAUGUUAAUUAGUCUGAUGUACUUAACUCUGUGUUGGGUAUGUUUUCCCUAAUCUGGUCAUUAAUGUCAUAUCAUGUCUGCCUGUUCCAUGGUCCUGGUUUGUGUUUGCCCGGGAAUUAAAUCGCAGGCCUGCCUCUACUUCCACUGUCUCUGCCUGUAAUCCAUGGUAGAAUGAUUGGACUCCAAAAGAAGAUGCCUCGCCUUAUGGAGGAGGAACACCUCGUCAACCAAAAAUCGAGGUGAUCUACUGGUAUGGGCAGCUAGAAACAAAGGAGGACACAGCUUCCAGAGCCCUCUUUAAAUGGUCGAGGGAGACCCUUCCAAGGAUCCGCACCUCAUGGAGGAUGUGCAGAGAAACUUGACCCAGCUAAGAAGCUGGGUUGCGGGGGGAGAGCAUGGCCUAUGGUCUACCCCCCCCGCCGUACGACCUGCUGGACAAAAACGUCGACAAAUACCUAAUCGUGUAUCAACGAAAACUUCCCUGACACAAAAAGGCAUGGCGUAACAGAGGGCAACACUGGUCCGUGUGGCUGUCCAUCACCAGGCAUGCUGUGCAUCAGCAGAUGACGCUCGCAGCUGGGGGAAUGCAGGAAGAAAAGAGGUCAAGGUUAGUACUGUACCGUACAUGUAUAACCACUUAUAGGCCAUAUAUACUUCCAACGGUCAGGUAAAGUUGGACUGCUACAUGUAUAAUAUAAUGAUCUAUACCAUAUGUGUGUCUGCUGGGGUGUGACAUGAAUAAAUGGUGUCCUGUAGUUGUGUUCUGGGCAUACAUUAAUUCUGGCUAUAACGGACUGUGGAUAUAACGGACUAUUUUGUUAGAUUCCUUAAAGUCCAUUAUAACGGGAUUCACAAACGCAAAGCUAAAUUCCUUUCCUUUCAACUGUGAGCGAAUAUUCUUUUUUUCUUUCCUCUUUCACGGAUAAAAAGCAUAUUUUAUCCAAGUUACAAAUGUGUCUUCUUCAAGCACUAAACAGAUUUUGAUAGCAAUAGUGAUCUUUGGCCAGGAGGGGAGUUCAGGAAGUACACAUACAUGACAGCCCAGUGCCCAAAUAUCUGCUUUUGCUCCAUGUCCCUUCCGUUUCCACACUUCUGGAGCCAUAUAGCAGGGUGUUCCACAAACUUCUCUACAACACACACAAAUGGGAAAACAUUAAGCACGCAUGUGCUUUCACUUGCUGUAUAAGCAAUUUGAAGGCUUUGCCAGAGAUCGUACAAAAAGUACGUACUUCAAUCUUGGCUUGGUUGCCAGUCCAAAAUCCCCAAUUUUCAGUUCCAGUUCAUCAUUUAUGAACAAAUUGUCUUAAAGGCAAAAAAAUCUGCAUCUAGUACAGACUCAAAAGGUUCACCAAACUGCAGACUUAACCGAAUUGCAAAAUUAACACUAUACAGAAAUCCAUAGUAAGUACACUAACAAUGCCACAUGAGACAACAGCAUUAAUAUACAGAGGAUUAAGCACAGCGUAUACAUCCAUAAUUUGUCCCUAUGGAUAUUGCCUUGGCGGUUGAUGUAUUUAAUACUCGAAACAAGCUUCUGCAUAUAGUAGCGAACUUCGGGGUCAGUUGUAGUCCCUCAAGCCUUUAAGAUGUCAUGAAGUGUCUGGGCUGGGAGAAACGGGGGCAGCCUGAAUCAUCGCAGAAUCUUAGCCUUAAUGAAAUGUCUGCAAAAGUCAUGGACUGCCCACCAUGUUCCUGCGCUGGAGUUUUCUUAAGAUCUCAAUUUCUUGACAAACCACCAUCUCAUUAAGCAAAAAUGAAAUUCAUAUAAACUGCAGAGAGGGCUGACAUUAAGCACAAUCUAUACAACACACCUCAUCCAUUCCCCAGGAAUACAGAGGUAUGACCAUCACUGCAAAGGUGUCACCAUUGACAAGGUCUGCCAUUUUAUAGGACUUGCCAAAAGUGCUCUAAAAAACAUGUCAAAGUGUUAAGAGUUAAAGAUAUUUUGCCGUGACUCUUUCUGGUAGAUCCUGUUCAAGUAUCUGCUCCACCUCAGAAAAAUUAACUGCAUUCUAACUGCAAACUUUGUAGCACAUGCAAGUUCCAAAAUCUCUCUUGUAACCCCUUGACGUGCUGAGAUCAAUUUCAACCUCAGCCACUUCGGGUCUAGUCUGAACACAGGGCGACUCGCUGACAGCCAUGAUUUCUUUAAGAGAAGCACUGAUCAGCGACUGGUCUGUAGAAAGCAGGAAAUGCGUAAUGAGCCGCGCUUCCGCUUCCAAAGUUCUCAGUGAUGUGGCAGUAUCACUGACAUCACCAGGCAUUCUAACAUCGCCAAGGUAGCAGGCCAAUUUGAACUUGGUGUUAGAUUACGUCACCACAUCAAACCCUUUUGGAGUUUGUGUUGUAUUUUUUAACUCCUAUAGUUAAAAGUAAAUUGCUUAAUUUAAGCUCAAAGGGGUUGGAGGAUUGCCCCAGAAACCUGACUCCCAUGUUUGAAUGGUUGAAACACAAAGUUUUUUUUCAUAAUGGAGUGUACGGGAAACUGAGGGAGGCACUCGGGGAUCGGUCAUCAUCGCACUUGCUUGGUACAGCUGCUCUACGUGUCACUGUGUAAAUAAACACAGGUACCAGUUAAAAAAAGCAUGGAAUUCACCAGAGUCCAAAGAGGACUAUGCUAACAUUCAAUACAUUAUAGCUUUGUCCAUGCAAAACACCAAGACAAGCUAUAACAUGUGCUAGUGCAGGACGGAAUGGUAUCAGCAAUAGAACAGGAGAAGGAUUUGCUGUUGUGAAUAGCACAUCUUUACCUCAACCACUGUGACCAGCUCAACUUAGUCAGCAACCUGCUUUCGACCUGCUCAACAACAAGUGACCCCGCAGGCUGGGCGAACCCUGCUGUACAUCAAGCUGCCAUGUUGCUCAUCCCCCUUGUGAAGGCUCAACUGUGAGAAAGCAUGGAGUUUCCAGGUCAAGCAUUUGAGUCUGAGGAACUGAGAGAGCAUCUUCUGGUAGGGUUUAUGCUGAUGAAGUUCACCCCUUGAUUUCUUCCUUUUGAAAUAGGUGCUGGGCCAAUCGGUUGAAGAACUUCACCACUGGGUUCUUCACUGCUUUGAGCUGUGGCACAGCAUCGCAGCUACUAGAUGGAAGUCACUUAGGUGUGAUGCCCUUGGGUGGGGGUUUAAUAUAUUUCAGUUAAGCAAACCAAUUAUAUUCAUCCAUCAAUCCAACAAUGGGAAAAAUAACUAAUGAUUUCAAAAUAAAGCAGGAGUAUCUAACUCUACAGGUUGAGUUAAAUAACAUUAGACUCACUAAGAGGAAUGUAGAAAGAAAGAUUGCAUUGGAGGCUAAGGAUGACAUUAAACGUUUCUUUCAAUAUUGUAUUUCCAAAAGAGCUCUAAAAGCUGAAAUCACUGGCUUGCAGAAUAGUAAGGGCCUUAUAAUUGAAAAUAAAAUUGAUAUAGUAAAUGAGUUUUUAAUGAUUAUUUUACUCGGGCGUUCACAGUAGAGGACAACUUACUAGUACAGCGUCUUCUAUGACCAAUAUAUGUAUAACUGAUGUAGUACUAAGCCUAGCUAAGCCCAAAAUAAAUAAAUCACAGGCCCCUGAUGGCAUCUUACCUAUAGUUUUAAAAAAGAUUAGGGAAAUUAUUACCCAACUUUUAAAUUUGCUAUUUCAGAAAUCAUUAUCUGCUGGUGUGGUGCCUUCUCAUUGGAAGUAUGCUAAUAUAAGACCCAUAUUCAAAAAAGAGGAUAGAAGUAAUUCAGCAAACUAUAGGUCAAUCAGUUUAACUUGCAUACCUGGAAAAGUAAUAGAAGCUAUAAUCCAAGUGAAAAUUGUAGAUUACCUGGACUCAAAUAACAUUCUGAGGGAUAGGAUUUUAGAGAGGUAGAUCCUGUUUAAGAUUUUAGAUUAUUUUCUUAAUGUUCUGUAGGUCUUGAUUAAAGGGAUUUCACCAACCAGAAGCUUGUACCUGUAUUGUGACUGGCAGCAAAGGUGUUUGAGGUUUUUCACAUACUGUAUGA